AGGACGAACGCUGGCGGCGUGCUUAACACAUGCAAGUCGAGCGGAAAGGCCCUUCGGGGUACUCGAGCGGCGAACGGGUGAGUAACACGUGAGCAACCUGCCCUUAGCUCCGGGAUAGCUCCGGGAAACCGGAAUUAAUACCGGAUACGACCACGGCCGACAUCUGCUGUGGUGGAAAGGAUUCCGGCUAAGGAUGGGCUCGCGGCCUAUCAGCUAGUUGGUGGAGUAACGGCCCACCAAGGCGACGACGGGUAGCCGGCCUGAGAGGGCGACCGGCCACACUGGGACUGAGACACGGCCCAGACUCCUACGGGAGGCAGCAGUGGGGAAUAUUGCGCAAUGGGCGAAAGCCUGACGCAGCGACGCCGCGUGGGGGAUGAAGGCCUUCGGGUUGUAAACCCCUUUCAGCAGGGACGAAGCGAAAGUGACGGUACCUGCAGAAGAAGCGCCGGCUAACUACGUGCCAGCAGCCGC
This 474-nucleotide ribosomal RNA is filed under the name uncultured bacterium. Its description in RNAcentral is "SSU rRNA". It matches the Rfam family "Bacterial small subunit ribosomal RNA", at positions 26 to 518 of the family's 1533-position model. The record is from RNAcentral.